GAGGGGCUGCACACCGCGGCCUGUGCCUGGCGCCUCUGCUGCUGCCGUGUGACCCUGGCAUCAGCUCAGCCCACCCUGAACCCUGUUUGCUCUUCUGGAAAAUAUGUAGAGCUUUCGGUGACCAGGAUUGAAACCCAUCAAUCCUGAAGGACAUCAGUCCCGAAUGUUCAUUGGAAGGACUGAUGCUGAGGCGCCAGGACUCUGGCCACCUGAUGAGAAGAGCCAACUCACUGGAAAAGUCCCUGAUUCUGGGAAACAUUGAGGGCAGAAGGAGAAGGGGCGACAGAGGAUGAGACGGUUGGAUGGCAUCACUGACCCAGUGGACGUGACUUUGAGCAAGCUCUGGGAGAUGGUGAGGGACAGGGGAGCCUGCUGUGCUGUGGUCCACGGGGUCACAGCGAGUCAGACGCGAGGCAGUGACUGAACGCAAACCACCACGAGGGAGGGCAGUGCUGGUAUUUGGGUUUGCUCCCAGUGGGUGUGCGGCUGUUUCAGCUGAGAAGAAUGUUGCCCACCACCCAGUCCCACCUACAACACACCCUGGAAGGAAUUCAAUGCAGAGACCAGGAACGAGACACUCUGUGCUCUGGGGAAACAGGCAGAACAGGCCCUCAGUUAGUUAGACAUUUUCAGGAGAAAAUUUAUGAACCCGGAUUCUUGCGUCUCCUCAUACUUAGAGAAGCACUAGAAUUGGUAACUCAGAUACCUGUUCCUCAUGACCUUCAGCAACAUUCUACCAAGACAGGAGCUUGGCUGCAGGGACCCUUGGACAAAAUCACGGCUAUACUGAUCGCCAACCCCCAGCACUUGGGACCAGCUCCUCAGAGCUGCCGCGAGGCUGCUGCUCAGGCUGUGUGUGCGAGGUGUGUGUACACACGUACAACCGUGCACGCUCAGUUGUGUCCGACUCAAACCAUGGACUGUAGCCCACAAGGCUCCUCCACCCCUGGGAUUUCCCAGGCAAGAAUACUGGAGGGGGUUGCCAUUUCCUACUCCAGGGGAUCUUCCCGACCCAGGGAUCCAACCCACGUCUCCUACAUGCUCGGGCUGAUUCUUUACCACUGAGCCACGUGGGCCCCCAGUCCUUAGUAA
This is a long non-coding RNA of Bos taurus (domestic cattle), 1092 nucleotides long. NCBI's taxonomy places the organism in Eukaryota, Metazoa, Chordata, Mammalia, Artiodactyla, Bovidae. The record is from Ensembl.